This 399-nucleotide ribosomal RNA is filed under the name uncultured Bodomorpha. Its description in RNAcentral is "partial small subunit ribosomal RNA". It matches the Rfam family "Eukaryotic small subunit ribosomal RNA", at positions 30 to 432 of the family's 1831-position model. Lineage: Eukaryota; Cercozoa; Glissomonadida. The record is from RNAcentral.
GCUUGUCUCAAAGAUUAAGCCAUGCAUGUCUUAGUGUAAAUAACUCUUAUGAAACUGCGAAUGGCUCAUUAAAUCAGUUAUCGUUUAUUUGAUGGUCCCUUACUACAUGGAUAACCGUAGUAAUUCUAGAGCUAAUACAUGCGUCAAGUCCCGACUUUUUGGAAGGGAUGUAUUUAUUAGAUAAAAAACCAAUGCAGGCAACUGCUCUCUUGGUGAUUCAUAGUAACUUUUCGGAUCGCACGACUUCACGUUGGCGACAGUUCAUUCAAAUUUCUGCCCUAUCAGCUUUCGACGGUACUGUAGUGGACUACCGUGGCAUUAACGGGUGACGGAGAAUUAGGGUUCGAUUCCGGAGAGGGAGCCUGAGAAACGGCUACCACAUCCAAGGAAGGCAGCAGG